RNAcentral lists this ribosomal RNA (404 nucleotides) under uncultured bacterium. Its description in RNAcentral is "bacterial SSU rRNA". It matches the Rfam family "Bacterial small subunit ribosomal RNA", at positions 355 to 777 of the family's 1533-position model. The record is from RNAcentral.
UGGGGAAUAUUGCACAAUGGGCGCAAGCCUGAUGCAGCAACGCCGCGUGAAGGAAGAAGGCCUUUGGGUCGUAAACUUCUGUCCUAGGGGAAGAUAAUGACGGUACCCUUGGAGGAAGCCCCGGCUAACUACGUGCCAGCAGCCGCGGUAAUACGUAGGGGGCAAGCGUUAUCCGGAAUUAUUGGGCGUAAAGAGUGCGUAGGCGGUUUCUUAAGCGUGGGGUGAAAGGCUAUGGCUUAACCAUAGUUAGCCCCGCGAACUGGGAGACUUGAGUGCAGGAGAGGAAAGCGGAAUUCCUAGUGUAGCGGUGAAAUGCGUAGAUAUUAGGAGGAACACCAGUGGCGAAGGCGGCUUUCUGGACUGUAACUGACGCUGAGGCACGAAAGCGUGGGGAGCAAACAGGA